ACCAAGAUAAUGGUGGAAAGUUGAAUUGACCAAAUUUGAGAGCGUGGUCAGAAGGCUGGUUUUCAUCGACUCUCCUUUUCCCUAUUAUUGACUUGUCAUGUUGCUCUUUUGACAGUGGGAAGCAGACCGAGUUUCAUAUUGAACCUGAAUUGGUUCUGGAGUUGAUGAUGGCAGCCAAUUAUCUCCAUACAUGAGCAUGCCAUCUCUCUUGGGUGACCAAGUCCUAUUUAACAUUGAUUGCCCAGGAGGAUGUGCGGGGAUGUGAUCGUUACCUGAGAGGGCGUGAAAAGCAUAGGAAAUCUACGUUGGUGUCAAGCACUGGAAUUCUCUCCCAGACUGCAAUGUAGUAUAUAUAUAUAAGAUUAUUGUAGUCAAAUUCAUGCAGUUAUAACUUAUAAGAUAUUGUAAGAUUACUUUCGAGACAUUAAUGAUUAGUCUCAGAAUCAUCACCAUAAGUAGAAUAGUUUUU
Molecule: long non-coding RNA, 469 nt
Organism: Prunus avium (sweet cherry)
Lineage: Eukaryota; Viridiplantae; Streptophyta; Magnoliopsida; Rosales; Rosaceae
Source: RefSeq, a predicted model, not a curated record